AGAGGUACAGCUUAGUGGCAGAGCACAUGCUUAGCAUGCAGGAGGCCCUGGGUUCAAUCCCCAGUACCUCCA
RNAcentral lists this transfer RNA (72 nucleotides) under Camelus bactrianus (Bactrian camel). It matches the Rfam family "tRNA". From Rfam's summary of the family: Transfer RNA (tRNA) molecules are approximately 80 nucleotides in length. Their secondary structure includes four short double-helical elements and three loops (D, anti-codon, and T loops). Further hydrogen bonds mediate the characteristic L-shaped molecular structure. tRNAs have two regions of fundamental functional importance: the anti-codon, which is responsible for specific mRNA codon recognition, and the 3' end, to which the tRNAs corresponding amino acid is attached (by aminoacyl-tRNA synthetases). tRNAs cope with the degeneracy of the genetic code in two manners: having more than one tRNA (with a specific anti-codon) for a particular amino acid; and 'wobble' base-pairing, i.e. permitting non-standard base-pairing at the 3rd anti-codon position. RNAcentral also lists the same sequence under 2 other names. Lineage: Eukaryota; Metazoa; Chordata; Mammalia; Artiodactyla; Camelidae. The record is from Rfam by way of RNAcentral.